This 2030-nucleotide long non-coding RNA is filed under the name Canis lupus familiaris (dog). Its description in RNAcentral is "lncRNA (ENSCAFG00000058427.1, ENSCAFG00845022076.1)". Lineage: Eukaryota; Metazoa; Chordata; Mammalia; Carnivora; Canidae. The record is from RNAcentral.
CUCAGUUCUCUGACCCCAGUAAGUAGGAAUCAGUGCUAACCAAGGAUGUAAAAAAGGUGAGUCUAAUAUGCAGAACCAGAACUGAAAAGCUUAUUUAUCUUUAUUAGAUUCUUGUAUCUGAGAAACUGACCCAUCAUGGACAAAAUUUCAAGACCAAGGAGAAAGAAUGCCAUCUGGAAUUAAAGGAAGCAUGGCCCAGGCUCCAGCCGUGAAUCAUCCUGGGGGCCCAGUGCUUCUUCCUUCUAAUUGUUCCUUCAAGAUAAAAGAUGCUCUGUUUGAAUCCUGUGAAACCCAGAAAUGAAGCUUAAUUAUUUUAACUGAGAAAAGUGAAUCUCAAACAUGUGACCUGAAGCCAUCCAAAAAGCAAAGAACACCUGCUAACUUGGAAAGGGACAAAAUGUAAGAUAAGUCAGACAUUGGAUUGCAUAAUAUAGAGACUCUACAAAAUUUCUUGAUCUUAUAAUAGCACUCUGCUAAAUGUAGUAUGCAAAUGUUGUUGGGUGUUUUACAGAGCUGAGACCCUGCCCUAUGGGUUUUACAGUAAAAACCCAUCUCCUAAUAACUUACUGUAGCUGAAAUUCAGUGCAAGGCUAAGGGAAACAUAAUUCUUGAGAAGUGAUCCAAUCCAUCCAUCUGGAGAUGAUCAUCUCUACAUGAAAGAUAUUGAAUCAUUUUCUUGCCAAUUAGGUAGAGGUAUGUUCUUUUGAAUAUAAAAUUCUGUAGGGUACAGGUUUAAUGCACUUGUGUUGCUGAUAUAUUUAUGUAGGUCGAUGUAAGAACCUUCUCCCCUAGUUUGGGUUUCCAGAGAGAUCCUCUCAAAGGGUGUGUGUGUUGAGGAAGUAGUCUGGAUCCUCUUUCCCAGCUGAUGGGCUCCUAGGGAGGAGGCAUCACCUAGGAUGGGAACUGGAUAGCUAUUGUCUAUGUCUGCCAUUUGAGUUGGGGAGGGCAGAGUUCAAGGGCUCUGCUUGUAUCUGGAAAGUUCUCUGGCUCUGGUGUAGUGGCUGGUACCAGCUCUCCUGCCUCCUGUUUCCUACUGCUCAGAGUUUGCCUAGGAGGAGUUGCCUUCUCUCUCGUUCUCAUACUGUCUCUGUGCAAUGAUGAGCAUCUGGGGUAGGCCUGUGGUCCUGCACCUCCUUGAAUAAGUCUCAGGGUCUAGCAUGGGAGAGAGAAGCCUCACUGGAGCUUUAGCUCAAAUUGUUCUUCAAUCCUGUUUUAUGUGAGGAGCUGAUUCCUUGAUCCCCAUUGUGGCCAUUUCCCCCUCUGCUUUUAAUCUAUAGGUAAGAAGGAGCAAGCAUUAGGACUCUCACUCCAUCCCAGGCUCCAAAGUAUCACUUUAUUGUCUGGAGAUCCUAGGAAGGCCAGCAUCUGUGCUUGGCUAUUCUGAGUAACCCCCUCUCUGGGUGAAAUGCUGAGCAAGGGGUCUUCAUUGAAGCAGUACUUUUGAGAGAACCUGAAUGAGUUCCAAUACUCAGGGGGAUUCCAAGCAGGGUUGUGGAAUCAGAGAUGGCUCAGAGAUGAGGGCAGCAUCAUCAUACAGAUGUACAACAAUUGUCCAGUGAUAAACACUCAUAUGCUUCUGGAUCAUGUCAAUGUUUGGCCUUCCUUUGGUUCUCAAAACCGACCCAGGCCAGGUUCCUGGUGACCCCCAAUCUUUCAUCUGAUGCUUCCCUCUCUCCCUUUCCACUUCCCUUUCUCCUCUUUGAAAUGAGGGCUUGGCCAUUUGCAGUAAGAACAGUGGGUUAAGACAUAUCUUGAUAAUUUUUUAAAAACCACAUGAAUUUGAAACUGCUUAUCUAUUGAUCACAGUGAGCACUUAAAGGGGGUAUAUACAUAAAUGCAUGUAUAUAGGUAUGUAUGUGCAUAUCUACUACACAUGACAGAUGAAAUAUGCAAAUGUAUGCAUGUGAAAUAUAUAUAUAUAUAUACAUAUGUGUGUAUAAUCCUUUUUUAAGCAAAAAGGAUUUUUUUUAAGCAAAAACUUGAAGAUACCCAUUCUUUGCUAUUUAUGGCACCUGUCAAAUUUUAAACAC